UACGGGAGGCAGCAGGGGGAAUAUUGCACAAUGGGCGCAAGCCUGAUGCAGCCAUGCCGCGUGUAUGAAGAAGGCCUUCGGGUUGUAAAGUACUUUCAGUCGUGAGGAAGGUGUUAAGGUUAAUAACCUUAGCAAUUGACGUUAGCGACAGAAGAAGCACCGGCUAACUCCGUGCCAGCAGCCGCGGUAAUACGGAGGGUGCGAGCGUUAAUCGGAAUUACUGGGCGUAAAGGGCACGCAGGCGGUUAAUUAAGUUGGAUGUGAAAUCCCCGGGCUUAACCUGGGAAUGGCAUUCAAGACUGGUUAGCUAGAGUCUUGUAGAGGGGGUAGAAUUCCAUGUGUAGCGGUGAAAUGCGUAGAGAUGUGGAGGAAUACCGGUGGCGAAGGCGGCCCCUGGCAAAGGACUGACGCUCAUGUGCGAAAGCGUGGGGAGCAAAC
Molecule: ribosomal RNA, 438 nt
Filed under: uncultured bacterium
Lineage: Bacteria
Description: bacterial SSU rRNA
Rfam family: Bacterial small subunit ribosomal RNA
Source: RNAcentral